AUGCACGCUGGCGGCGUGCCUAAUCCAUGCAAGUCGCGCGAACAGACGAGGAGCUUGCUCCUCUGACGUUAGCGGCGGACGGGUGAGUAACACGUGGAUAACCUACCUAUAAGACUGGGAUAACUUCGGGAAACCGGAGCUAAUACCGGAUAAUAUAUUGAACCGCAUGGUUCAAUAGUGAAAGACGGUUUUGCUGUCACUUAUAGAUGGAUCCGCGCCGCAUUAGCUAGUUGGUAAGGUAACGGCUUACCAAGGCAACGAUGCGUAGCCGACCUGAGAGGGUGAUCGGCCACACUGGAACUGAGACACGGUCCAGACUCCUACGGGAGGCAGCAGUAGGGAAUCUUCCGCAAUGGGCGAAAGCUUGACGGAGCAACGCCGCGUGAGUGAUGAAGGUCUUCGGAUCGUAAAACUCUGUUAUUAGGGAAGAACAAAUGUGUAAGUAACUAUGCACGUCUUGACGGUACCUAAUCAGAAAGCCACGGCUAACUACGU
RNAcentral lists this ribosomal RNA (495 nucleotides) under uncultured bacterium. RNAcentral's name for it is "partial 16S ribosomal RNA". It matches the Rfam family "Bacterial small subunit ribosomal RNA", at positions 29 to 506 of the family's 1533-position model. The record is from RNAcentral.